GCAGGAUGUGUACAUGUACCCCAGAGCCCAAAGUACAAUUAAGAAAAAAGGAAAAAUGUAAAGACAUUACCUAAUUUACUUAGUAACACUUACCUUUCCUCUUCAUAUAAUCACCACCAAUUAUUGAUUGUGUAUUAUAUACUUUAAUUUAAGCUGACUUUUUAAUAAAAUGUUUAAAAAGUUUAGGUUCAUGGGUACAUGUGAAGGUUUGUUAAUAGGUAAAAUUGUGUCAUUGGGGUUUGUUGUAUGGAUUAUUUCAUCACCCAGGUACUAAGCCUAGUCCCCAAUAGUUAUUUUUUUCUGAUCCUCUCCCUCUUCCCACCCUCCAACCUCUAAUAGGCCCCAUUGUCUAUUGUUCUCCUCUAUGUCUCCAUGUCUUCUUAUCAUUUACUU
Long non-coding RNA from Sapajus apella (tufted capuchin), 393 nucleotides. RefSeq lists it as uncharacterized. The transcript has 3 exons. The record is from RefSeq and is a predicted model, not a curated record. NCBI's taxonomy places the organism in Eukaryota, Metazoa, Chordata, Mammalia, Primates, Cebidae.